RNAcentral lists this ribosomal RNA (476 nucleotides) under uncultured bacterium. Its description in RNAcentral is "partial 16S ribosomal RNA". It matches the Rfam family "Bacterial small subunit ribosomal RNA", at positions 28 to 523 of the family's 1533-position model. The record is from RNAcentral.
GACGAACGCUGGCGGCGUGCCUAACACAUGCAAGUCGAGCGAUGAAGCCCUUCGGGGUGGAUUAGCGGCGGACGGGUGAGUAACACGUGGGUAACCUGCCUCAAAGAGGGGGAUAGCCUCCCGAAAGGGAGAUUAAUACCGCAUAACAUUGGUUUUUCGCAUGGAGAACCAAUUAAAGGAGUAAUCCGCUUUGAGAUGGACCCGCGGCGCAUUAGCUAGUUGGUGAGGUAACUGCUCACCAAGGCGACGAUGCGUAGCCGACCUGAGAGGGUGAUCGGCCACAUUGGAACUGAGACACGGUCCAGACUCCUACGGGAGGCAGAAGUGGGGAAUAUUGCACAAUGGGCGAAAGCCUGAUGCAGCAACGCCGCGUGAGUGAUGAAGGCCUUCGGGUUGUAAAGCUCUGUCUUUGGGGACGAUAAUGACGGUACCCAAGGGGGAAGCCACGGCUAACUACGUGCCAGCAGCCGCAGUAA